Molecule: ribosomal RNA, 167 nt
Filed under: uncultured bacterium
Lineage: Bacteria
Description: partial 16S rRNA
Rfam family: Bacterial small subunit ribosomal RNA
Source: RNAcentral
UAGGGAAUCUUCCACAAUGGGCGAAAGCCUGAUGGAGCAACGCCGCGUGUGUGAUGAAGGGUCUCGGCUCGUAAAACACUGUUGUAAGAGAAGAAUGACAUUGAGAGUAACUGUUCAAUGUGUGACGGUAUCUUACCAGAAAGGAACGGCUAAAUACGUGCCAGCAG